GGGCGAAUGGUUUAGUGGUAUAAUACUCCCUUAGCAUGAUCGUUCCACGACAUCUGGGAGUGGUCCAGGGUUCGAUUCCCUGUUCGUCCA
This is a transfer RNA of 90 nucleotides. It matches the Rfam family "tRNA". From Rfam's summary of the family: Transfer RNA (tRNA) molecules are approximately 80 nucleotides in length. Their secondary structure includes four short double-helical elements and three loops (D, anti-codon, and T loops). The record is from Rfam.